GAUGAAGAACGUAGCGAAAUGCGAUAAGUAAUGUGAAUUGCAGAUUUCAGUGAAUCAUCGAAUCUUUGAACGCACAUUGCGCCCCUUGGUAUUCCGAGGGGCAUGCCUGUUCGAGCGUCAUUAUAACCCCUCAAGCUCAGCUUGGUGUUGGGGCCUGCUGCACUGGCAGCCCUUAAAAUCAGUGGCGGCGCCAUCUGGCUCUAAGCGUAGUAAUUCUUCUCGCUAUGGAGUCCUGGUGGAUGCUUGCCAUCAACCCCCAAUUUUUCUAUGGUUGACCUCGGAUCAGGUAGGGAUACCCGCUGAACUUAAGCAUAUCAAUAAGCGGAGGA
This 329-nucleotide unclassified non-coding RNA is filed under the name soil metagenome. Its description in RNAcentral is "partial contains 5.8S ribosomal RNA, internal transcribed spacer 2, and large subunit ribosomal RNA". The stretch from base 1 to 120 matches the Rfam family "5.8S ribosomal RNA", at positions 35 to 154 of the family's 154-position model. The record is from RNAcentral.